CUCUAGCCCCUCACUUCACAUCUGUCUAUUAACCCCAAUCAAAGAAUGUAAUGUAUGUAUGAUUUUACUGUUGUAGCCAAUAUGAUCAUUGUAAUUAUAGUCUGUAACAUUUCACCUAAUUGUUAUCAAUAAGAAUGAAGUUUAAGCCAUUUUAACAUUUCACCUGAUUGUAUAAACGAGUACGAAUGUUUGCUGUUCUAACUUGUCAGAAUUGGAUUUAUAUACGACCUGAAGUACACACACAUAUAUUUGACCCCUCAAAACAAACACCGCCAAAUGCUUAAAGCAAUUAUUCUGUAAUAAUAUUGUUAUGAUGUAUAUUCUUUGCACUUUGCGAGUAUGUCUUCACUUCUGUUAUACGAACUUUGCACCCAGCUGAUUCCAGACGCCAUAUUUGUUUACAAAUGUGGCAGUAUACAUGUGAUGUGUUACGACAGCAAAAGGAACCUGUGAUCACUGAAGGCCCUAUGGUGAGGACCAAGCAACUCUGCCAACAUGAUUUGCUUUCUCUCCUUUUUUUUAAUUGGUAUCUGCCCCUGAGCCACGAGUUUCUGAAUUGAAAGUCCAAAGAAGAGAAGACAAAGAGAAGUAGCUUUUUUGUCUGUUUCAUGGCUUAUACGCCUACUGGGGAAACUCGCCAUGUAAAAAAACGAGUAACACAUCAAGCUUGGUACCUCUAUGGUGAUGUGGAAAUCCGAGCGUUGUUAACAAAGAAAUUAAUUCAUUAUGUGUCUGUUUCAUUUGAUUAUCAUGUUGCUUAUAGUACACCAAAUUUAAUUAAAAUACCCAGGUGAUAAUUUCAACAUAAAUUGGACUAUGUGCAUAGCUGCUUCUCACAGGCAAAGUAUGAAUAUUUACCAUCCUCUGGCAUGUGUGUUCACUAGUCAGUUAUGGCAAAAGAAAUCACUGACUCAAAGCAUAAUUUGCUUGCCUUUUUAGUUAUAAUUUUACGUUUUUAGAUUAUAGUGCUCCCUGAGAGAUUAUCUUCUGCAUUUCUUGGCCCUGACAUGAUAUAUAAUGGAUGUUUCACC
Molecule: long non-coding RNA, 1031 nt
Organism: Schistocerca nitens (vagrant locust)
Lineage: Eukaryota; Metazoa; Arthropoda; Insecta; Orthoptera; Acrididae
Exons: 3
Source: RefSeq, a predicted model, not a curated record